Molecule: long non-coding RNA, 386 nt
Filed under: Sinocyclocheilus grahami
Lineage: Eukaryota; Metazoa; Chordata; Actinopteri; Cypriniformes; Cyprinidae
Description: lncRNA (ENSSGRG00000043329.1)
Source: RNAcentral
UGGAUGUCAAAGAUUCAGUUCAUACGAGUGAUUCAUUCGCGAAUCAGACGUCACGUGUGACGUCACGCUCUCUCUUCUUCGCUGGUUUGCGGCAGCGCUAUAAAUGCUGGCGCGCUAGUGUGCGCGCUCUCUCAUUUUUGCGAUGUUGCGGUGGAAGUGCGCUAGCGCGUACAAAACUGAGAAAGUCAGGCGGUCACAAGAGGGAGGCUGAAUGUGCUCUGCAUCUACUCCAGCUGCUGCAGCUCCGCUGUAAGUAUGCGCUUUCUCUCGGUCUCGGUCACCCAGCGGUAGUCAGCUGUGCAGGCCAGCCCGUGCCUGAGCUAGUGUUACUCUGCUGGAAGAGGGAGGUGCUGGCGUGUGUGCUCCAGCAGGUUUGGCUGUUUUAG